RNA transcript from Gadus macrocephalus (Pacific cod), 6094 nucleotides. It is a transcript of the gene named glutamate receptor 1-like, with no coding region annotated. NCBI's taxonomy places the organism in Eukaryota, Metazoa, Chordata, Actinopteri, Gadiformes, Gadidae. The record is from RefSeq and is a predicted model, not a curated record. The transcript has 17 exons.
AGGGGGUGAGGGAGAGAUAGAGAGAGCGAGAGAGAGCGAGAGAGAGAGAGAGAGAGAGAGAGAGAGAGAGAGAGAGAGAGAGAGAGAGAGAGAGAGAGAGAGAGAGAGAGAGAGAGAGAGAGUGUUAGAGAGACAUAUACUGUUGCUCGACUACAACUAUGUGUUUGCUAGACAGGAUCUACCGACCAACUGAGGGCUGUAACACUGCGGGCCACUUGUGCUUGCUUGACCGUACCGCGUGUAUGGAAAUAUCACCAUUUUUCCCGCUCUGGAAUUGUGGCCGUUGAUAAAAGGAAAUAUGCCGCCGAGAUUGUUCAUUUCUUCGGGGUUCUUCGUGAGUUGCGUUGUCGCCUAUUGCUGCGGCAUAAGUUUUCCAAGUAAUAUCAACAUAGGCGGGCUCUUCCCCACCGGCUCGCACGAAUAUGAGGUGUUCCGCUUCGCCCUCGCGCAUCACAACGACAUCCCCAAGCUCGUGCCUCAGGUGGACAUGGUGGACGUGGGCAGUAGCUUCGCCAUGACAUAUGCUUUCUGCUCCCAGUUUGCCAAGGGCGUGUAUGCCAUCAUGGGCCUGUACGACCAGCGGACGGUCAACAUGCUCAUGUCCUUCUGUGGCUCUCUGCACGUGUGCUUCGUGACGCCCUCCUUCCCCAUCCACACCAACAACCAGUUCAUGCUGCAGCUCCGGCCCCAGCUGCAGGAGCCCCUCAUGGCGCUGGUGGAGCACUUCAGCUGGACCCGCUUCGUCUACAUGUACAGCUCCGACUCAGGUCUGUCCGUCCUCCAGAGGAUCUUGGACACUGCGGCGGAGCGCAGCUGGCAGGUGACCUCGGUGAACUUGGACACGCUGACGGAGGCGGCCUUCGUCAAGCUGCUGCAGGACCUGGAGUACAAGAAGGACUACCACGUGGUGCUCCACUGUGAGCUGGAGAGACUCAACUCCAUCCUCAACCUGAUUGCAGCUCAGAAGAGGACUCUGAAAAACUACCAUUAUAUACUCGUCAAUCUGGGCUUCCAGGACCUGAACUUCACAGCCUUCCAGUCGCUGGGGGCCAACGUGACGGGCUUCCAGCUGGUGAACACCUCCGACCCGGCUGUGGAGAAGCUCAACCAAGAGUGGCUCGACUUCGACAGCAAAGACAUCAAGCAGAACCGCAGGAGGCUGAAGUACACAGGGGCUUUAACCUAUGAUGGUGUCAGCGCCAUGGCGACAGCCUUCCAGAAUCUUCGGAAGCAGAGGAUAGAUAUCUCUCGGCGGGGGAACGCAGGGGAGUGCCUGGCCAAUCCCCCCGCCCCCUGGGGCCAGGGGAUCGACAUACAGAGGGCUCUGCAGCAGGUGCGUCUGGAGGGCCUCACAGGCCACGUCCAAUUUGAUGAGCGAGGUCAUCGUUCCAACUUCACCCUGACAGUUAUGGAGCUCAGCCACACUGGGCCCAUAAAGGUCGGUUACUGGAACGAGAACGAGAAAUAUGUCAACACUGUAGUCUAUGUUCCAGUCGUGGAGGAAUUCUACGGUCUGCAGAAUAAAACCUAUGUGGUUACUACUAUACUGGAGCCCCCGUAUGUGAUGCUGAAGAAGAACCACGAGCAGCUGGUGGGGAACGACCGCUACGAGGGCUACUGCGUGGAGCUGGCCUCGGAGAUCGCCAAGCACGUGGGCUUCAACUACCGCCUGGAGCUGGUGGGCGACGGCAAGUACGGCUCCAGGGACGCCGAAUCCAAGAUGUGGAACGGCAUGGUGGGGGAGCUGGUGUACGGGAAAGCCGAUGUGGCGGUGGCUCCCCUGACCAUCACCCUGGUGCGUGAGGAGAUGAUAGACUUCACCAAGCCCUUCAUGUCCCUGGGCAUCUCCAUCAUGAUCAAGAAGCCCACCAAGUCCAAGCCGGGGGUCUUCUCCUUCCUGGACCCGCUGGCCUACGAGAUCUGGAUGUGCAUCGUGUUUGCGUACAUCGGAGUCAGCGUGGUGCUGUUCCUGGUCAGUCGUUUCAGUCCAUACGAGUGGAAGGGCGAAGACGAAGAUGAUGAAGACGAGCAGCAAGCUGGAGCCAGCCCCUCUUCCCGACAUGCCGCUAACAACUCCUCCUCAGAACACGGACAAUCGCAUGGCUACUCCCAGUCCCAGGCACAGCCCCAGACCAGCGGCCAGAACCAGCAAAAGGAGAAGGAGGGAGGAGAAUACACCAAUGAGUUUGGGAUCUUCAACUCUCUCUGGUUCUCCCUGGGGGCCUUCAUGCAGCAGGGCUGUGACAUCUCCCCCAGGUCUCUGUCGGGUCGCAUCGUUGGGGGGGUGUGGUGGUUCUUCACCCUCAUCAUCAUCUCCUCCUACACGGCCAACCUGGCGGCCUUCCUCACCGUGGAGAGGAUGGUGUCCCCCAUCGAGAGCGCAGAGGACCUGGCCAAGCAGACGGAGAUCGCCUACGGGACCCUGGAAGGAGGCUCCACCAAGGAGUUCUUCAGGAGGUCCAAGAUCGCGGUGUUCGAGAAGAUGUGGUCGUUCAUGAAGAGCGCCGACCCCUCUGUGUUCGUCAAGAGCACCAACGAGGGCAUGACGCGCGUGCGCAAGUCAAAGGGCAAGUACGCCUACCUGCUGGAGUCCUCCAUGAACGAGUACAUCGAGCAGCGCAAGCCCUGCGACACCAUGAAGGUGGGCGGGAACCUGGACUCCAAGGGCUACGGGGUGGCCACGCCCAAGGGUUCCCCUCUCAGUAGCAGACAGUGGAGCUCCUUGUUCGUCUCCCCUCAUUCCAUUUUUCUCACUCUUUUCACUUUUACACAGAUUUCAUGUGUUGUUACUCAAAUGGGGGUAAUUAAGACAAACCCGUGAACCACAGAGGUAAUAUGUGUGGAGCAGGGGAGGUUUUUUUUCUCCAAUCACCCGCAAACAAUUCAGACUGGAGAGCCGUCAGAGAUCUAUUCGACCACAUUACUUACAAAUUACCAUGAGUAGCUGGUACCUCGAAAUGGCUGGGGUGAAAUUAGACCAGCCGACCAAUUGGGUGUUGAUUAACACACUGACUAUGAUGAAUGGAAAGGGAGCAUGAAAGAAGCAUGUCUGAGAAGGUAUUUUAUUAAUACACACUAGAAGGGCAGUUUGUUAAAUGCAGUAGUUAAUUGGUUUCUGCACAAUAUGAAUACACUAUUGUAGUCAUGCAGCAUUUUGUCGUAUAUUCUGUCCGUCUGUGUUCGCCUGUCUGUAAAUUGUCUGUCUGGUGGUCUGUCUGCUGUUUGUUUUUAUUUUAUUCCAACUGAUUACUCAGUGUUUGAUAAUGAAUACAUCAAAUGAGUUUUUCUGAAUGUUUCUGAACCACAUUUAGAGUCUCAGACAGACAAAAAGAUUCAACGCAGCAUAGCGGGCCAACGAUUUUAGUUGGAAAUAAGUCUUCAAAAACAAAUAAAAAGCAGUGAUCAUUUGUACGUUGUAAUAACUUUAGAGAAAUAAAUUCCUAUCGUGAAAUGAUCAUUGUUGGUCAUAGCAUUCCAUUGUAAUGCUUCCACUAAUAAUUUAUUACCAGACUCUGAAAGGGGCUAUAUGUUUUGCUGUUAUUAAUUUUGGGCUUUGGCAGUUACUCGUGUGGACAUGAAAUAAUUGAAUCGGUUCCAUUAUGCAUCAGGUAUCACACAGACAACCCAGCGGCAUUGGACAUACAAUCCUCAUCCACAAUGAACAUACCACCUCUGCCCUUUGCAGAGAAGCAAUUUGUGAGAGUCACACAGCUGGGGGGAAAAAAAGGAAUCAAAAUCUCUGUAUUGAAUCAUUGAGCAACUAACGGCACAAAGGAAGGGAGAAAAGACUUCCUGUGAAAAAGGAGCAUAAGAGUCAGCUGGCCUUACUAGAGCAGGGUAGUGAACAGUGGACGCAUAGGGCAGCAGAGCAUCUUCUCCCAUUUGCUGCUCUCUUUGAAGCCUAACCAAAUGUGCAUCUCUCUCGCGUUGAUUCAGUAAAACCAUGAUAGAAUUUAUUUUCAUCAUUGUUAUUAUUAUCAACAGAAAUCGAGUCUGCACGUCUCUGCUAACUUUAUUAUUAUCAACAACAUCUCAUUAUAACUAACCAAGCCCCACCAAUGCUCUUCUGGACUUUAGCUUCUCAUCUCUGGAACGACCAGCUUAGAGUACUUUCUUUGUACCACAAUGUGCUUGCUGUUGAUGACGACGUUGUUGUUAUUUGGGAAAUGAUGCAAAUGGGAAACCAAGCUUAGGCUGUUUACCAGAUGCUCUUAGCAGCUAUGAAACUAGAGACAGAGAGAGAUAAAUUGGGUUAAAUGUGCCCCAAAUGCCAGGUGAGUCUGGGCAUGUUUACAAAUUAAAGUGCUGUGGCCUCUCAAAUGUAUUAAUAUUAAUUUCCUAGAGAGGAUGAUACCUUCCGGAUAACAAGCACUAAAAGAUAACAUGCAGUUAUUGAUAUUAAUUGAGCGUCAAUAUAAUCUCCAUAAAAUGUGAAACACUGUAAUUUAAAAGCUGAACAUGACAACACAAAAUGCCACUUUGUUGGUUUAAUCUUUAGUACCCCCAAUUAACAGAUUUAAAAUCGCUGUAGGUACUAUUUAAGAGCUAUAAUUUGAGUGUAUUCUGAUAGAAAUCUAAUCUAACAGAUAUUCAUGAGGAAAAUUCUCUAUUGUGAAAUAUAUUUUCUGGUCGACUGUGUGCCUGCCUCUCUAUGAAACCAUUUGUAUUUGAGAGCUCUACCUGCUCCGACCAUCAGAUCAAUCAGGAUCUGAUCAUCUCUUCCCAUAUCCACUUUUUGGGGGAUUAUUAAAAAAAUCUUGAUCUCUUCUGCUCUUUACCACUCUCUAUCUUAUCAACUCUCAAAUAUUAUCGACAGCAGGUUGAACCCCCUUGAUGACAAAUAGCAUGCUAGUCAAUGCCUCUUAUUAUCAUUUAAAUAUGUGGCUGUGUUCCAUCGAUCCUUGCUGGCAUCGGUAUGACUUGAUAGAUAGAGAUAUUUAAUGAUGUGUUCGCGAUUCUAACCAAGUGCCAACUUUGUUGUUCUUUCCUUCAUUACAUUUUCAGGAUUGUUAUACUCAUGAAUGCACCUGCCAUCGUUAGAUGGGAUAAUAAUGUCACUCUGUUUACAAUGUUUACAAUGCCGCUGUCACGUUGAAAUUGUACCGGGGGCGAAAAUUGUACCGGGUACGUAAUCAGUUGUCCGUUGCCAGGCAACGAACAAAACAUUACGUAAGGGGUUGUCCGUUGCCAGGCAGGUUUCAAUCGCGCUCAUGUUGCCGAAGACAAAAUAAUGUAAUACAGAUAACGGAUCGCUAGAUAACAUUUGUUUUUACUUUAUAUUUGUAUUGCAUUUAAUUGUUUAAUCGAAUUUUGCUAGUAAACUGAGUGUUUAUUGUGUAUCAUAGUCUAGCUAGCUUGUGUUAAUUGAAUUUCCUUAAUUUAAUUUAGAGAAUAGAUUAUAGGUAAUAGAUAGAUAGAUAGAUAGAUAAUAGAUAGAUAGAUGGGUAGAUAGGUGAGCAGGCAUUUACUAACUGGUAAAUGUUUUUUAUUAUUAUUAUUCACGUUAUCCCCAUAACAUUUAGCUAUUACUGUGUAGGGAAAUAGAUAAAUACAAUGCAAUACAAUACAAAUAUAAAGUUAGGAACGCUAAUAAAUGUAAUUUGUAAAAUAAAUGUUAUCUGUCUUGUCGCGCUCAAUGAACGAGUUCGCGAAUGUUCAAGAACCUUCCCACGUCAUUCGACGCGAUCGGGCGUCGCGAUCGUCUGUUGCCAGGCAGGUUUGGAAUGGAUUUCUAUGGAUGACGUAGGCCGGUACAAUUUUCGCCCCUGGUACAAUUUUAACCUGACACCGCCCCCCCCCCCCUCUGUGUUUAGCAAACAGUUUAACAAUGGUUUUGUUACAAGUCCCCUGUCGAUGUGUUUUAGUUUUCUGUAUGUUCAAGUUGUCUAAUGAUUAACACAAAGUUCCCCUUCUAUCCCCCUACUAUUAUGACCGUUCCCAUAGAAACCCUGUAAACUUGGCAGUGUUAAAACUGAACGAGCAGGGCCUGUUGGACAAAUUGAAAAACAGAUGGUGGUAUGACAAGGGAGAGUGCGGCACCGGGGGAGGGGACUCCAAGGAUAAGACCAGUGCCCUGAGCCUCAGCAAUGUGGCC